AUUUUUAACUCUUAAUUUAUGCCACAAAUAUUCUGCAAUUCUUUCUGCAGAUUAGUAAUAGAUGUGGCUCAUCUCCCUUCUUGAGUACAUAGAAAAGGAAACUCUGAAUAGCUCUAAUUCUUCUCUAGUAGGCAUGCUUUGAAGUGCUGACUGGAUUGAGUCCCUGCAGAGAGAUGGAUGGAUAAAUUGUGGAUUAUCAUCAGCCUUCACCACCACCAACACAGAGUUGCUCAGUGCUGUGAAAACUGAGAUAUUGCUCUACAUACCCAGUAGCAGAAGAGAAAAUGCUUUUUAAGAUAAGGUACCAAGGAACAUAUAAAGCUUUAGUAGCAAUUCAACAGGACUCACAGGAUUGUGGUGCUAAUUAGAAGUCCCUGAACUCUGCCUAAGGAAUUUUGGAAUUUAGUCAAAGGGCAGACCGCUGUGGAUGAAGGUUAUGGAACAGAUGAGCCAAGCCCUGCCAUUGUCCUUGUCCUUCUGCUGGACAUUCACACCAGGUAUCUAUGCAGACACACAAUAUCUAUCCACCUGCCUUUGACCACACUGUUAUAUGUUUUGGAUUCUCAGUGGUUAACCCUACACCAGAAGAUCAUUAACUGCAGGUGUGAGAACCGGAGGCUGAAAACACAGGCUCAAAAGAACACACUGCACCUCAGUGCUGCUGGAGUAAUGCCUGCAGAGGCAAAGUUUAGCACAUGGGCUGUGGGAAAAGUUGCCAUGUGCAAGAACUUGGAGGAAACCUACCUCUUCCCUUGAUCCCACCGGCCUGCAGGGUCUGGCCCUGGCGUCUAGGGCUGUGGUCACAAUUUUGAAGUCUACCAGCACAAGAAAGCAACUUUUACCUCUGGAUCAAGGCUAGGCAACCAGAUGAAAGCAGUUCAGUUACUAAACCUGUUUUCACUUUCAAAACUGAUACAGCUGUGAAUCACCUCAAAAUGAAAUAAAGCUCUUCUGUUCUCACA
This 962-nucleotide long non-coding RNA is filed under the name Anser brachyrhynchus (Pink-footed goose). RNAcentral describes it as "lncRNA (ENSABRG00000006546.1)". The record is from RNAcentral. Lineage: Eukaryota; Metazoa; Chordata; Aves; Anseriformes; Anatidae.